AUGCACACUUUGACAGCUCAUACACUAAAAAUGGAACCAUAUAGAGAAGACUAUCAUGGCUUCUGCACAACGAUGACAGGCAAAUUUGUGAAGCAUUCCAUGUUUUA
Molecule: small nuclear RNA, 107 nt
Organism: Colobus angolensis palliatus
Lineage: Eukaryota; Metazoa; Chordata; Mammalia; Primates; Cercopithecidae
Source: Ensembl